Arabidopsis thaliana x Arabidopsis arenosa is the source of this 146-nucleotide non-coding RNA. Lineage: Eukaryota; Viridiplantae; Streptophyta; Magnoliopsida; Brassicales; Brassicaceae. The record is from the annotation of a GenBank genome assembly.
UGAUGUGGCCCACGUAGCAGUGGGACCCACGGCGAAUGAUUCUUAGAGUCCGCAAAAAGGAUAAUAAUCGAUGAUCCGCAGUUGCGUGCUUGGGCGAGAGUAGUACUAGGAUGGGUGACCUCCGGGAAGUCCUCGUGUUGCAUCCC